GACAGAGGGUGCAAACGUUGCUCGGAAUUACUGGGCGUAAAGCGCAUGUAGGCGGUUCCGUAAGUCGGAUGUGAAAGCCCUCGGCUUAACCGAGGAAGUGCAUUCGAUACUGCAGAACUAGAGUACCGGAGAGGGUCGUGGAAUUCCUGGUGUAGAGGUGAAAUUCGUAGAUAUCAGGAGGAACACCGGCGGCGAAGGCGGCUCUCUGGACGGUGACUGACGCUGAGACGCGAAAGCGUGGGGAGCAAACAGG
This 253-nucleotide ribosomal RNA is filed under the name uncultured bacterium. Its description in RNAcentral is "partial 16S ribosomal RNA". It matches the Rfam family "Bacterial small subunit ribosomal RNA", at positions 524 to 776 of the family's 1533-position model. The record is from RNAcentral.